AUUGAACGCUGGCGGAAUGCUUUACACAUGCAAGUCGAACGGUAGAGGGGGCAACCCCUCGAGAGUGGCGAACGGGUGAGUAAUAUAUCGGAACGUGCCCAGUCGUGGGGGAUAACGUAGCGAAAGUUACGCUAAUACCGCAUACGAUCUAAGGAUGAAAGCGGGGGAUCGCAAGACCUCGCGCGAUUGGAGCGGCCGAUAUCAGAUUAGGUAGUUGGUGGGGUAAAGGCUCACCAAGCCAACGAUCUGUAGCUGGUCUGAGAGGACGACCAGCCACACUGGAACUGAGACACGGUCCAGGCUCCUACGGGAGGCAGCAGUGGGGAAUUUUGGACAAUGGACGCAAGUCUGAUCCAGCCAUUCCGCGUGCAGGAUGAGGGCCCUCGGGUUGUAAACUGCUUUUGUACGGAACGAAAAGGUCUCUCUUAAUACGGGGGGCUCAUGACGGUACCGUAAGAAUAAGCACCGGCUAACUACGUGCCAGCAGCCGCCGUAA
RNAcentral lists this ribosomal RNA (496 nucleotides) under uncultured bacterium. RNAcentral's name for it is "partial 16S ribosomal RNA". It matches the Rfam family "Bacterial small subunit ribosomal RNA", at positions 30 to 523 of the family's 1533-position model. The record is from RNAcentral.